GAUGAACGCUGGCGGCGUGCCUAAUACAUGCCAGUCGAGCGAACGGACGAGAAGUUUGCUUCUCUGAUGCUAGCGGCGGACGGGUGAGUAACACGUGGAUAACCUACCUAUAAGACUGGGAUAACUUCGGGAAACCGGAGCUAAUACCGGAUAAUAUUUUGAACCGCAUGGUUCAAAAGUGAAAGACGGUCUUGCUGUCACUAAUAGAUGGAUCCGCGCUGCAUUAGCUAGUUGGUAAGGUAACGGCUUACCAAGGCAACGAUGCAUAGCCGACCUGAGAGGGUGAUCAGCCACACUGGAACUGAGACACGGUCCAGACUCCUACGGGAGGCAGCAGUAGGGAAUCUUCCGCAAUGGGCGAAAGCCUGACGGAGCAACGCCGCGUGAGUGAUGAAGGUCUUCGGAUCGUAAAGCUCUGUUAUUAGGGAAGAACAUAUGUGUAAGUAACUGUGCACAUCUUGACGGUACCUAAUCAGAAAGCCACGGCUAACUACGUG
RNAcentral lists this ribosomal RNA (497 nucleotides) under uncultured bacterium. Its description in RNAcentral is "partial 16S ribosomal RNA". It matches the Rfam family "Bacterial small subunit ribosomal RNA", at positions 28 to 507 of the family's 1533-position model. The record is from RNAcentral.